Molecule: long non-coding RNA, 2200 nt
Filed under: Homo sapiens (human)
Lineage: Eukaryota; Metazoa; Chordata; Mammalia; Primates; Hominidae
Description: non-protein coding lnc-KRTAP9-7-1:3
Source: RNAcentral
AGUCUUCAGCCAGGCAGGGUAAUGAAUUGUUUUGGCAUCUGGUUCUUGUUGCUUUGGAGACCACAGGAGAGGCGGUGGUGAUGGCCCAUCGCUUCAGCCCUGUGGCAUCCCCACAGGAUCCAUGGGCAUCAAGUAAUUUCCCUGUGCUCCUCUGAAGAUAAACCGCUGCCUGCACCAGCCUAGCAGCUUCCAGAAGCUGUGGAUGAGAAGCAAUCUCCCACCAAAAGCCAGAGCUCACCUGCAAAGCUUCAAUCCCAAGCAGAAGGAAGCCUCCGUUUUUUCCCCCCAGAUGAGCCUGAAUUCACCUCCAGAAAGUCUCAAUGCAUCACACCAAGGGUCACACACCUGCUCAUGGUUCUUCUUGAGGCAAAGCAGCUCCUCCUUCAGGGACUCCAGCUGGGCCUCCAGGUCACACUUGGCGAGGGUGAGGUUGUCUAGCACCCUGCGCAGGCCACAGAUGUCAGCCUCCACCAGCUGUUGCAGCGAGCGCUCUCUCUCGUACCUGUAACAGGGAAAGUGCAGGAGUGACAGUUAGAGGGCAGGAAGGGGCACCAGGACAUGACUCCCAGCUCGCAGCUGUAAGUCCACUGGCCUGCCCUUUGCCAUCUAAUUGUGAGUUGGCUUAUCCUGUGUAGUGUGCUCAAAGCCCAGAAAGCAACAGGAUGUUCCCCACUCAGUCAAUACUAAGCACCUGAGAUGAACCAAGGGGAGCAGCUGGUACUGAGGAUACUGUGAUGGACACACAGCCAGCACCUGCCUUUACACACAAUGGCCCAAAAGGGAGGUGGCAAAGUAACCAGGCAUUUGCAACACAGUGCAAUCACUGCAGGCCCCUCUCUACAAGCCCCAUACCCAAAGGGACCCUGGAUUCCCUAUUAGAGUAAAAGCCACAUUGCCAGCAUGAGAGGAAGGAAAUGGCUUUCUUUAGCUCUAGAAGAGUGAGACUUGCACAGUGCCCCGAAGAAAGAUGAUAAAACACAAUGCCCUUCCAGCACCCAGGGUAGACCCUCCUCAGGUGGUGUCAACCCUUUGACUUUCACAUGUUUUCAUCUUAGGCUAUGGAGCAUGAUUUCUGCUAUGAAUUAUCAGCACUCACAAAUUAAUCAAGCUGCAGCACAGAAACAUAUCCUUAUUAAGGCAACAGUUUCACAGGAAAUUGCUUCAAGAAAGGAAAAUUUGGUACAAAAUUUAAGGCCAAGUCCCAGCUCUGCCACUCGGUACCCACAUGGCUUCUGGCAAGUCACACCAGCACCCCAAGCCUCAGGGUCCCCACCUGUGGAGGAGAUUCUAUCCCUGCCCGCCUGCUUCACAAGUUGCUUACCAGGUGGAUGAUGCAUUCUAGCACAUGUUGUAAACUGUUAAUGCUAAACCACUGGAGAGCGGAUAGUUUUUCAGGAUCUUGAGCUUAAUGCCCUUUGUUCUCUUCUGCUAUAACUACUGGGUUGGGGUCUGGGUCAAUGACAUCCGAUGCCACAUGAGACAGAAGCAGCCAACUUGGCAUUGUCCCAUCCCCAUCCAACCCCAACUCUCACUUGGCUCCUUCCCAUCCCUGUCCAACCCCAACUCACUUGGUCCUGAAGUCAUCUGCAGCCAAUUUGGCAUUGUCUAUUUGCACAACCAGCCUAUUGUUCUCCGAUUUGGUGCACAGAAUCUGGGGUAAGAAAGUAGGCUCAGUAAGUGACUUACUGAUCCCAGAGACACCUAUAGCCUCAGGUGAGAGGAAGUUUUAUUGGCUGAAGUUGAACCUACAGCAUCCGCCUGGACAACACAAACUCCCAAACGUGCAAGAGAUGCUUUUGUGGUGUGGGAAGGAAGAUGUGCAAGAGACUUCUUGGAAAAGGAUGAAGACAUAGAGUCAAAGGAACCAGGAGAUGGAAGACAGUAGCAAACUGAACAUAUAACAAAGACUUGCUUUCAUUUUGCCAGAUAUGAUGCUUAGCCCAAUAUAAAUAAGAAGAUCUGGCCGGACGCAGUGGCUCAUGCCUGUAAUCCCCGCACUUUGGGAGACCAAGGCAGAUGGAUCACCUGAGACAGCUGCAAAGAUUUCGAGGUGGAAGAGAGCUCACUGAGAGACCGGAAAAAGACUUCAUGGAGUAGGGGAUUUUCCAAAUAUGUUUUGAAUGAUAUUUUUUAUAAAGGGUUGGGGAAUGAGCUUCUCUCAUAGAGAACAAAAUAAACACAAUCAAACAUUUGGAAAAUG